Molecule: long non-coding RNA, 2269 nt
Filed under: Apis mellifera (honey bee)
Lineage: Eukaryota; Metazoa; Arthropoda; Insecta; Hymenoptera; Apidae
Description: uncharacterized LOC102655862, transcript variant X1
Source: RNAcentral
CUUACUGGUAGAAUCAUACGUAUACUUAAGUUUGUAUUUUCAAUAACAAUGUCUAUUGAACAUUUCCUUUUUUUUCGUCUAAAUAUAUCAAUGAUCCACGAUUUAUAAGAAGAUUCAUUCUGUUUUAUAUAUAUAUAUAUAUAUAUAUAUAUAUAUAGAUAUUUCUCAAGAAAGAAAGAAAUAAAAUCGAUUCAAAAUUUUUUUCCUCGUCAAGAACACCAUGUGGUUUAAAUGUCGUUUCAACAAUCGUACAAUUUACACACUAACUGCACCGUGAUGGGACACGUUCACUGGGAUCGAGAUCGAGACACGCUGGAGAAUAGGUUCACCAACAGCCGCCACUCAAGAACGACUUAACAGUGUCCACCUUCGAUUUAUCAUCGGCUAUACGCAACUUCUCCUACCUCCUCACCGUUCCAUCAUCCGCUAUCGAUACGCCAAUAAAUUUAGACGAGAUACAUUCAGGGAGAGAGAGAGAGCUACAAUAACGAUAUUGGUAGAGAUAAAAAAGAAGAGAUAAAAUUCGAUCACGAUGAAGGAAUAAUAAUGGAUAUUUAAAUGUGAUCACGACGAAUGUUGUAUGAACACUGGAACAAACGCAACUCGAGAAAAUAUAGAUGAAAUACACGUAGCUUCUGGUAAAUGCGUUUCAUGACCUCGUUCUUAUCGGGACGAGGAGUCAAUCGAUGACCGCCCGCAAAUCACAGAUUGCCAUGCAUAAGGAAUAAAAUACUCGUGUUUCAUUUUAAUUUGAUGAUUACAAUCUAUAUCAAUUUAUAUAAUUAUAUUUUUCAUCUUUUAAAAAAAUGAAGAAAAAUACCAAAGCUGAUUUUACAUCGGUCAACGACUCGGUCAACAACGAGCUCCCUCACAAUAACUCUAUAAAUCUCGGGACAGGAUUUCUGCGAAUCGGAAGUCAUAAUGCUGUCGUUUCCACUUCUGAUGCUCGAUGGAACGUUGCAUAUAGAGUUGUUUGCCAGUUUUCUUUCGCUACCUCGGAAAUGAUCUCAUUUGCGCGGUAUAGAAAUAUCUUGAUGAAACUUUUUCAUCAAUCUUUCUUUCCUUUUGUGCAACUUUUUCAAAGAUACGUAUAGAAAUAAUAUAUAUAUAUAACAAUAUGUAUAGUAUCCAACUUCAAGAAAAGAGAACAGUUUGAAAACACAAAAAAUUUCAAAUUUCAUAAAUAAAAUCAUCGAAUUGCAGAUCUAUAGGACUUUCAACGCGAAUGAAAUGUUGAAAAAGUCAAGUCUGCUCGCAGCCAAGACUACGUACGAAUGAUAUAAAUAUACUGGGACAAGUUGUUAAAGUUACUAUUCGACAUCUCGACUCGUUGCUUGAUUAACGAGAUACUUAUUUUCAAAGGUAGUAAUUUAUAAUGACAUUUUUUUUCACGUUUUGUGAAUUGAAAAUUGGAAAAAAAAAAGACAUUCACAAAUAAUAUAGUCAAAUCUUCGUGGACAAUUGAUUGUAACAACGAACUGGAAUGUUGGAUUGCAUCUACUAUAUCUACAAUUAUAAAGAGAAAAUUUUUUUUUCAAAAAAAUAUAUUCCCAAUUAUUUAUUUGAUUUUAUAUAUCAAGUAUUGUAAAAGAGCCGAGUCAUUAAACUUGAAUAUACAUGUAGGUUAUCACGAUAUUUGACCUGGUUCUGAUAGUUUCAUAAAAGAUAUUUUCAUAAAAGAAAAAUAACACAUUGUACAUUUCCUUUUUCGUAUUUUUCUUAAUAUAUAUAUAUAUAUAUGGGAGAAUUAAUGCAGAACGUUUAGUCGUUCGAUCACGAUCAAUCAUUUCUUCAUCCUAAAGGGGAAUCGAUGUGAGUCAUUGUCUCGGUCGUGACCUCUUGCUCGAUGACUAAUUUCUCGGCUGAUCUUAUGUUAAAUCACCGCAGAUAUGUGAGAACAACCGACUCUCGCGAACAAUCGCGUUGUGAAGGCGGUUUUCAUUGUUCUGUCUAGUCAUGCACGAUGCGGUCAUAUUCAAAAUUAUAAAGAGCCGAAUCAAAGGUGUAACUCAUUUCCUCCCUCGUCUCUAAAAAUAUCCCACUUUCUUUUUAAAGAUUCGAUCGAUUGAACAAACGUUUAUAUUUUUCAAUCAACUCUUCUCAAGGAAUUUCCAUAGAAACGAACGAACGUACAAGACUUACUAAUGUUUGAAUUAACUUUCUACUGGUAGAGAUGACUAUAUGAAUCGACAUGCGGUUGCUCGAUCGCUGUCUCGUUACGCAAACACCGACAUGGUGAUAAAAAAAAAAAAAAAAAAAAAAAAAAUAA